This 495-nucleotide ribosomal RNA is filed under the name uncultured bacterium. Its description in RNAcentral is "partial 16S ribosomal RNA". It matches the Rfam family "Bacterial small subunit ribosomal RNA", at positions 28 to 523 of the family's 1533-position model. The record is from RNAcentral.
GAUGAACGCUAGCGGGAGGCCUAACACAUGCAAGCCGAGCGGUAUUGUUUCUUCGGAAAUGAGAGAGCGGCGUACGGGUGCGUAACACGUGUGCAACCUGCCUUUAUCUGGGGGAUAGCCUUCCGAAAGGAAGAUUAAUACUCCAUAAUAUAUUGAACGGCAUCGUUUAAUAUUGAAAGCUCCGGCGGAUAGAGAUGGGCACGCGCAAGAUUAGCUAGUUGGUGAGGUAACGGCUCACCAAGGCGAUGAUCUUUAGGGGGCCUGAGAGGGUGAUCCCCCACACUGGUACUGAGACACGGACCAGACUCCUACGGGAGGCAGCAGUGAGGAAUAUUGGUCAAUGGGUGCAAGCCUGAACCAGCCAUCCCGCGUGAAGGACGACUGCCCUAUGGGUUGUAAACUUCUUUUGUAUAGGGAUAAACCUACCCUCGUGAGAGUAGCUGAAGGUACUAUACGAAUAAGCACCGGCUAACUCCGUGCCAGCAGCCGCCGUAA